This 246-nucleotide ribosomal RNA is filed under the name uncultured bacterium. RNAcentral's name for it is "partial 16S ribosomal RNA". It matches the Rfam family "Bacterial small subunit ribosomal RNA", at positions 526 to 771 of the family's 1533-position model. The record is from RNAcentral.
CGGAGGGUGCGAGCGUUGUCCGGAAUCACUGGGCGUAAAGGGCGCGUAGGCGGUUUGGUAAGCGUGUGGUGAAAGCCCGGGGCUCAACCCCGGGUCUGCCGUGCGAACUGCUGAACUAGAGCACUGUAGAGGCAGGUGGAAUUCCGAGUGUAGCGGUGGAAUGCGUAGAGAUUCGGAGGAACACCAGUGGCGAAGGCGGCCUGCUGGGCAGUAGCUGACGCUGAGGCGCGACAGCGUGGGGAGCAA